CGGGGCUACUGCUCUGUAAUUGGCAUGGGGGCGACCUUCACCCUCGCCCGAGUACCCAUUGGAGGGCAAGUCUGGUGCCAGCAGCCGCGGUAAUUCCAGCUCCAAUAGCGUAUAUUAAACUUGUUGCAGUUAAAAAGCUCGUAGUUUUACUUUUCGUCCUCGCUAGUGUGUUUUCACUAGGCGUGACGGCUCGUUACUUUGAGAAAAUUAGAGUGUUUCAAGCAGGUUUUGCCUGUAUAAUUGAGCAUGGAAUAACCUUGUAUGACCCUGUCGUACCGUUGGUUGCCUUGGGUAAUGGUUAAUAGGAACGGUUGGGGGCAUUCGUACUCGACUGUCAGAGGUGAAAUUCUUAGAUUUGUCGAUGACGCACGACUGCGAAAGCAUUUGCCAAGGACGCUUCCAUUAAUCAAGAAC
RNAcentral lists this ribosomal RNA (414 nucleotides) under Babesia bovis. RNAcentral's name for it is "SSU rRNA". It matches the Rfam family "Eukaryotic small subunit ribosomal RNA", at positions 486 to 984 of the family's 1831-position model. Lineage: Eukaryota; Apicomplexa; Aconoidasida; Piroplasmida; Babesiidae. The record is from RNAcentral.